AGACCGAUAGCGAACAAGUACUGUGAAGGAAAGGUGAAAAGAACUUUGAAAAGAGAGUGAAAUAGUAUGUGAAAUUGUUGAUAGGGAAGGAAAUGAGUGGAGAGUGGCCGAGGUUUCAGCCGCCCCUCGUGGGCGGUGUACUGCCGACGCCGAGUCAUCGAUAGCGAGACGAGGGUUACAAAUGGGAGCGCCUUUCGGGCGUUCUCCCCUAACCCUCCACACUGCCACCGACGACAUAAUCCACCCAUUUCACCCGUCUUGAAACACGGACCAAG
RNAcentral lists this ribosomal RNA (275 nucleotides) under Yarrowia lipolytica. RNAcentral describes it as "partial large subunit ribosomal RNA". It matches the Rfam family "Eukaryotic large subunit ribosomal RNA", at positions 331 to 670 of the family's 3401-position model. The record is from RNAcentral. Lineage: Eukaryota; Fungi; Ascomycota; Dipodascomycetes; Dipodascales.